GGGCGGGGGAGCUCACCUCCGCCGUUCUUGUAGCACAGGUAGGGGAAGAGCCACACGUUGCCCAAGCCCACGGAGAAGCCCACGCACGACAUGAUGAAGUCCAUCUGGCGCGUCCAGUGGCCAGAGGGGAGCCUGCCUGACUGAUGAGCAAGGCUCGACUUUGUCACCAAGGCAGAGAAGGGGCCCGGAUAAAUGACCCCGGCGGCCCCCACCCCUGCCUGGUGUGAGAGUGGGGUCUUCUCUGGCCCAGCCUUUGACUGAAGCUGGUCUGGAGACAGGGGCAUUAGAGAAGUGACUCAUAGAUGGCCUAAAGAAGCGGGGCCACUCAAGGACCCAGGACAGAGGGAAGAGGGCCAACCCAGCUGGACCACAGGCAAACCCCAUGGCCUUUGAGAGAAGAGAGAAGAGGACCCGGUGAAGUAGGCUCGGAGGCCCUCAGCCCAGCAGGAGUGCAGGGCUUUUCCUCCAGGAGCUGCACCAGGAACUCAUAGAGGAUCAGGGAGAAUUCUGAGAACACGCUACUGUGGUGCUGCCUAGAGAGGAGGAUAAAUGAUGACAAGUACAUCUCUGAGUAACAUACGGGCACUUGUUCAUGAAAACUGUUUUUCUGAAAGCUUGUGAAGGUCUUGAAAUACUCGCUAUCUGUUGAGGACAAACAUUUACACCCUCCUUCCACAGGGAGUUCAAGCAGCCUGGAUGGGUCCAUCUAUGGAUGAUCUUCCCCAGCCCCUUCCUCUUCCCAGGUUAUCCCUGGCUCUCUGUGUGAACAGUUCUCAUCAGUGGAAUGUCAUUGAUGAAGUGAGGUCUUCAAUUUUCUCAUCUACUGUGUGGUCAUGUUAUUUUCCUCAUCUGAGGCUUAAAAACUCACCUGCAUGCAGCACAUGACAGCUUAAAAUCUCUUGUGAACAAAACAGUAACAAAGACACCCACCAGGGUUGAGCAUCCCAUGUUGAUGACAGCGACCACCAGGGGUCAACGUCCUCUUCACAAUCCUGUGUCAGAGCAUCACUUGACUGAUUUCAUUAGCAACUUCCCAGGAGAAUCAGCUUAUAAAAUACUUGUCCCAUUUUCCAUGCAGAUGUAACCCAUCUAUUUUACUGAAGAAAUAGGAAGAGCUGAAUGCUGAAUUCACUGAAUGUCUGCAGGUUGUGCAAGUUUGUGACUUUCUGAUUUCUGAUCUGUGUGGACCACUCUACAGAUUUUUCUCACUGGUGUGAUCAGCCUUCUGGAUGUCAAAUAUAAUAGACUUUCAUCAUAUAAAAGUCAACACAAGCUCCUCAUGGUUUCAGUGCUCAGUGACGACUCUAAACUUACACAAUGUGUUUCUUUAUUAGUUUUGUUUUCUGGUAUCUCUACUCGGCAUCUUCACCACACCGAUUUUAUGUUUCUUAUACAGGCUUUGUGCUAUGAAAUGCUAUCUCAUGAAUAUGCAAAUAACCCGAGAUCCACUGAGGUAAAUUUGGAUGUCUGUGCCCUGAGAGCAUCACCCAACAACCACAUCCCUCUUCUAUAGAAGCCCCUGAGAACACAGCUCCUCACCAUGGACUGUACCUGGGGGAUCCUCUUCUUGGUGGCAGCUGCCACAGGUGUCCAUUCCCAGGUUCAGCUGUUGCAGCCUAUGGCUGAGGUGAAGAAGCCUGGGUCCUCAGUGAAGGUCUCCCGCCAGGCUUCCAGAUACACCUUCACCAAAUACUUUACACAGUGGGUGCGACAAGGCCCUGGACAAGGGCAUAGUGGAUGGGAUGCAUCAACCCUCACAAUGAUAACACACACUAUGCACAGACGUUCCGGGGCAGAGUCACCAUUACCAGUGACAGGUCCAUGAGCACAGCCUACAUGGAGCUGAGCAGCCUGAGAUCUGAAGACAUGGUCGUGUAUUACUGUGUGAGAGACACAGUGCAAAAACCCACAUCCUGAGAGUGUCAGAAACCCCAGGAAGGAGACACCUGUGCUGACACAGAGGAGAUGACAAAGAUUAUUAGAUUAAAGAUUUGCUUAGAAAAUGACAUUAAGUCAUUAAAGAAAAGGAACAAUAUUAAUGUGUAUUUGAGAAAUUUUAAUUAUUUGAGAGAUUUUCCUACAACAUUUAUUCUGUAAACAAAUUUCAAUGAUUAAAGAAUGAAUCAAAUUAAUGAAACUAAUAUAGAACUUCCUCUGAAGGUAUCUCUGUAAACAUUAAUU
Gorilla gorilla gorilla (western lowland gorilla) is the source of this 2181-nucleotide long non-coding RNA. RefSeq lists it as uncharacterized. NCBI's taxonomy places the organism in Eukaryota, Metazoa, Chordata, Mammalia, Primates, Hominidae. The record is from RefSeq and is a predicted model, not a curated record. The transcript has 6 exons.